UAUUUAAAUAGUUAUAUAGCCCUAAAGGCAUUUGUAGGGCAAAUGUAUUUUUAUAUAUUUUAUUUUGAGGGGAAAUUACUCCCAAAAGUUGAAUCAUGAUAAAACAUGAUUUUACAAAUUUUCUGGAGUUUAUUUGGACCAAUUUGGAGUUCAAAAUCAAAAGAUAUCAAAGAAAAGGCUGAAAGAAAAAAAAAGGAGAGAACUGGACCGGCCCGGCCAAAUGGGCCGCCCCGGAACCAUCCCGACCGCGCCC
Molecule: long non-coding RNA, 253 nt
Filed under: Brachypodium distachyon (stiff brome)
Lineage: Eukaryota; Viridiplantae; Streptophyta; Magnoliopsida; Poales; Poaceae
Description: long non-coding RNA (BDIS_LNC002455)
Source: RNAcentral